This 1446-nucleotide ribosomal RNA is filed under the name uncultured organism. RNAcentral's name for it is "SSU rRNA". It matches the Rfam family "Bacterial small subunit ribosomal RNA". The record is from RNAcentral.
CGGCGUGCUUAACACAUGCAAGUCGAACGAAGAAGGCUAGAAUGAGAGCUUCGGCAGGAUUUCUUUCCAUCUUAGUGGCGGACGGGUGAGUAACGUGUGGGCAACCUGCCCUGUACUGUGGAAUAAUCAUUGGAAACGAUGACUAAUACCGCAUGUGGUCCUCGGAAGGCAUCUUCUGAGGAAGAAAGGAUUUAUUCGGUACAGGAUGGGCCCGCAUCUGAUUAGCUAGUUGGUGAGAUAACAGCCCACCAAGGCGACGAUCAGUAGCCGACCUGAGAGGGUGAUCGGCCACAUUGGGACUGAGACACGGCCCAAACUCCUACGGGAGGCAGCAGUGGGGAAUAUUGCACAAUGGGCGAAAGCCUGAUGCAGCAACGCCGCGUGAAGGAUGAAGGGUUUCGGCUCGUAAACUUCUAUCAAUAGGGAAGAAACAAAUGACGGUACCUAAAUAAGAAGCCCCGGCUAACUACGUGCCAGCAGCCGCGGUAAUACGUAGGGGGCAAGCGUUAUCCGGAAUUACUGGGUGUAAAGGGAGCGUAGGCGGCAUGGUAAGCCAGAUGUGAAAGCCUUGGGCUUAACCCGAGGAUUGCAUUUGGAACUAUCAAGCUAGAGUACAGGAGAGGAAAGCGGAAUUCCUAGUGUAGCGGUGAAAUGCGUAGAUAUUAGGAAGAACACCAGUGGCGAAGGCGGCUUUCUGGACUGAAACUGACGCUGAGGCUCGAAAGCGUGGGGAGCAAACAGGAUUAGAUACCCUGGUAGUCCACGCCGUAAACGAUGAGUGCUAGGUGUCGGGGAGGAAUCCUCGGUGCCGCAGCUAACGCAAUAAGCACUCCACCUGGGGAGUACGACCGCAAGGUUGAAACUCAAGGGAAUUGACGGGGGCCCGCACAAGCGUGAGAGCCAUGUGGUUUAAUUUGAAGCAACGCGAAGAACCUUACCAAGGCUUGACAUCCCGAUGACCGUCCUAGAGAUAGGACUUCUCUUCGGAGCAUCGGUGACAGGUGGUGCAUGGUUGUCGUCAGCUCGUGUCGUGAGAUGUUGGGUUAAGUCCCGCAACGAGCGCAACCCUUAUCUUCAGUAGCCAUCAUUCAGUUGGGCACUCUGGAGAGACUGCCGUGGAUAACACGGAGGAAGGUGGGGAUGUCGUCAAAUCAUCAUGCCCCUUAUGUCUUGGGCUACACACGUGCUACAAUGGCUGGUAACAAAGUGACGCGAGACGGCGACGUUAAGCAAAUCACAAAAACCCAGUCCCAGUUCGGAUUGUAGUCUGCAACUCGACUACAUGAAGCUGGAAUCGCUAGUAAUCGCGAAUCAGCAUGUCGCGGUGAAUAAAAAACCCGGGCCUUGUACACACCGCCCGUCACACCAUGGGAGUUGGAAGCACCCGAAGUCGGUGACCUAACCGUAAGAAAGGAGCCGCCGAAGGUGAAGCCAGUGACUGGGGUG